Molecule: long non-coding RNA, 337 nt
Filed under: Brachypodium distachyon (stiff brome)
Lineage: Eukaryota; Viridiplantae; Streptophyta; Magnoliopsida; Poales; Poaceae
Description: long non-coding RNA (BDIS_LNC004284)
Source: RNAcentral
CCUUGUCUGCCCGCACAGUACUGGGAGCCGGUGGAGGAGGCCGAGUAGCAGCACGGCACGGUCGUCGGUGCCACCAAGCCCUACCGCAUCGAGCUCGUCGGCGAGGGCGACGGUGGAGGAGUCGGCAGGGAGGUGCCCGGUGGAGGAGGUGGCGCGGGGGCACGGGAAGCAGGGCAAAACGACGAGAAGCUCACAACGAACGCGAGGGCGCGCUCGGAAACCGCAGAGGAGGACCGCAGAGGGGAGCUCGUCGGCGACGGGCGGCGGCCGAGGUAGGUGGACGGCGCGGGGACGGCUCGGGGCGAGCGAGGCUUGGGGAAGAGCACCAAAGGGUUCU